This 202-nucleotide non-coding RNA is filed under the name Kandleria vitulina. RNAcentral's name for it is "T-box sequence". It matches the Rfam family "T-box leader". Rfam says of the family: Uncharged tRNA acts as the effector for transcription antitermination of genes in the T-box leader family. Lineage: Bacteria; Bacillati; Bacillota; Erysipelotrichia; Erysipelotrichales; Coprobacillaceae. The record is from RNAcentral.
GAAAAUACGAAGACAGAGACAGGUCUUGAAUAGAGCUUACAGAGAAGCCGUGGUUGGUGAAAACGGUGAAGUGACUAUUUUAGACGAAUCACUCUUGAGUAGCCUCCUGAGUAGUUAGGGAGAGCCGUUGAUCGCGUUAAGAUUUUAAGCGCAUAUCUUUUGAUAUGAAUAAAGGUGGUACCGCGUUAAGAACGUCCUUUUC